This 247-nucleotide long non-coding RNA is filed under the name Mytilus galloprovincialis (Mediterranean mussel). Lineage: Eukaryota; Metazoa; Mollusca; Bivalvia; Mytilida; Mytilidae. The record is from RNAcentral.
GUUUUCUUUUAAGUUUGUUUGUUUAAAUCAAUCCACAUGAUGAUUAGCCAUUGUUUUGGCUGUACUAAUAAACUGAUUGUAUACCUUCAUAAAAAUAGGAAGAUGUGGUACCAUUGCCAAUGGGACAUCUUUUCACCAGUGACACAAUGCCAUAAAAAGUAACAAUUAAAGGUCACAGUACGGUCUCCAACAACGCACAAAACCCAUUCUUCAUAGCAUGAAAAAUGUAAAAUAAUUCAAACGAGAA